UACGUAGGUGACGAGCGUUAUCCGGAUUUACUGGGCGUAAAGCGCUUGUAGGUGGCUCUGUAAGUUGGGCGUGAAAACACCGGGCUUAACUCGGUGACGCCGUCCAAUACUGCGGGGCUGGAGGAUGUCAGAGGAAGGUGGAAUUCCUGGUGUAGUGGUGAAAUGCGUAGAUAUCAGGAGGAACACCCGUGGCGAAGGCGGCCUUCUGGGGCAUUCCUGACACUGAGAAGCGAAAGCUAGGGGAGCAAACAGG
This 253-nucleotide ribosomal RNA is filed under the name uncultured Anaerolineae bacterium. RNAcentral describes it as "partial 16S ribosomal RNA". It matches the Rfam family "Bacterial small subunit ribosomal RNA", at positions 524 to 776 of the family's 1533-position model. Lineage: Bacteria; Bacillati; Chloroflexota; Anaerolineae. The record is from RNAcentral.